This 1293-nucleotide ribosomal RNA is filed under the name Serratia liquefaciens. RNAcentral describes it as "bacterial SSU rRNA". It matches the Rfam family "Bacterial small subunit ribosomal RNA", at positions 118 to 1392 of the family's 1533-position model. Lineage: Bacteria; Pseudomonadati; Pseudomonadota; Gammaproteobacteria; Enterobacterales; Yersiniaceae. The record is from RNAcentral.
UGGGAAACUGCCUGAUGGAGGGGGAUAACUACUGGAAACGGUAGCUAAUACCGCAUAACUAGAUGGCUGCGUCUACGGACCAAAGUGGGGGACCUUCGGGCCUCAUGCCAUCAGAUGUGCCCAGAUGGGAUUAGCUAGUAGGUGGGGUAAUGGCUCACCUAGGCGACGAUCCCUAGCUGGUCUGAGAGGAUGACCAGCCACACUGGAACUGAGACACGGUCCAGACUCCUACGGGAGGCUUAGUUGGGGAAUAUUGCACAAUGGGCGCAAGCCUGAUGCAGCCAUGCCGCGUGUGUGAAGAAGGCCUUCGGGUUGUAAAGCACUUUCAGCGAGGAGGAAGGGUUCUGUGUUAAUAGCACUGUGCAUUGACGUUACUCGCAGAAGAAGCACCGGCUAACUCCGUGCCAGCAGCCGCGGUAAUACGGAGGGUGCAAGCGUUAAUCGGAAUUACUGGGCGUAAAGCGCACGCAGGCGGUUUGUUAAGUCAGAUGUGAAAUCCCCGCGCUUAACGUGGGAACUGCAUUUGAAACUGGCAAGCUAGAGUCUUGUAGAGGGGGGUAGAAUUCCAGGUGUAGCGGUGAAAUGCGUAGGGAUCUGGAGGAAUACCGGUGGCGAAGGCGGCCCCCUGGACAAAGACUGACGCUCAGGUGCGAAAGCGUGGGGAGCAAACAGGAUUAGAUACCCUGGUAGUCCCCGCUGUAAACGAUGUCGACUUGGAGGUUGUGCCCUUGAGGCGUGGCUUCCGGAGCUAACGCGUUAAGUCGACCGCCUGGGGAGUACGGCCGCAAGGUUAAAACUCAAAUGAAUUGACGGGGGCCCGCACAAGCGGUGGAGCAUGUGGUUUAAUUCGAUGCAACGCGAAGAACCAGUACCUACUCUUGACAUCCAGAGAAUUCGCUAGAGAUAGCUUGUGCCUUCGGGAACUCUGAGACAGGUGCUGCAUGGCUGUCGUCAGCUCGUGUUGUGAAAUGUUGGGUUAAGUCCCGCAACGAGCGCAACCCUUAUCCUUUGUUGCCAGCGCGUAAUGGUGGGAACUCAAAGGAGACUGCCGGUGAUAAACCGGAGGAAGGUGGGGAUGACGUCUUAGUCAUCAUGGCCCUUACGAGUAGGGCUACACACGGCUACAAUGGCGUAUACAAAGAGAAGCGAACUCGCGAGAGCAAGCGGACCUCAUAAAGUACGUCGUAGUCCGGAUCGGAGUCUGCAACUCGACUCCGUUUAGUCGGAAUCGCUAGUAAUCGUAGAUCAGAAUGCUACGGUGAAUACGUUCAAUGCCGGGCCUUGUACACAAUG